CCCCAGGGAGUGUCCUGACACACCAACCAGUGCCCUCGUCUCUAUUUACUCACACUUUCAUCCACAAUACGGAAGGCUGGCUGUUUCAGACAGGUGUAAGUUUAAGAUUGAAGGGAGGGACGAGGGCCUGAGAUAGGGCGCUUCAGGUGCAAAGGCCACCGAUAAUAAAGGCUUCUUACGCUACACAGCAGUGAGGAAGGAAGGAGCGUAUGUGGAGUCUGUUUCCGUGAGUCACCUGUCUCAUCGCGUCCUGUUCUUUGUAGCCAUCGCGUUCCUAUGGAUACCCUAAGGCCCAAAUUAAAUAUUACAGAAUUUUUGUUUGGCAGAGAUUGCCAACAUUAAGCCACACAACUGGUAUCACAAGACAUUGGCAGGUGAUGGCGCACCAACCCCGGGGCCAGAAGACAAGGGCCUUUCGUCGUAUCAGUGAGCAGCCCCCAGGGGCUCUUUGCUGCCACUGACUCCUCUCCCUGAGCCUGGACUCCAUUACUACUACCCUCCUCAGCACUCUGGCUGACUCUCUGUGCCUCCAGCCUUGUAUCUUCUGAUGUGUCUACAUCACAAAUGUGACCAUGCGAUCUCCUGCUUAAGUCCUUCCAGGAGCUCCCCACACCUGCAGGGUCAUGCUCAAAGAGCACCACAGGUGACAGGCACGGUGUGACCCAGCUCUUGCCACCACUCCAUGGGCCGUCCACUGACUUGACCUGGCCACAUCCAGCUCCUGCUCACCACUGGGCCGUCCACUGACUUGACCUGGCCACAUCCAGCUCCUGCCACCACUCCAUGGGCCGUCCACUGACUUGACCUGGCCACAUCCAGCUCCUGCUCACCACUCCAUGGGCCGUCCACUGACUUGACCUGGCCACAUCCAGCUCCUGCCACCACUCCAUGGGCCGUCCACUGACUUGACCUGGCCACUCAAGCCACUGGUAUUCCCUAGGUGGGCCCACCUCUCACGACAUGACACAGGAAGGCAGACGGUCCCACGGAAGGAACAAAAACCUCUUCACCUUGAAGACACAGUUCAAGCAUCCCCUUCUCCAAUUUUUUCCUCCUGAGUCUCCAAGUGGAACAACUCCAUCAUUGUGGCCCUAUCCCCGCGUAUAGGCCUCUGGCUCAGUACGGGUAAACUGCUAUUGGUCUUCUUAACUUCCAAGUUCUGCACAGAAAUGCACAGGCCCUGAAGGCAGCUGGCUCCAUGAGCCUUGGGACAGAGAGAAAAGCUCUGAGAAGGAAGCUUUGACACCAGAAGGGAGUCUGUCUCCAGGAAAUAACAAAAACAGACUUACAUCAAGAGGAUCACUGGAUGGAACAAAACAAAGCAAAGAGAAAGUUUAAAAUUUUCUCAGAGAGUUAAAAAUAUGAAAAAGGGAGAUGAGAAUAAAAUUUAUGGGGCUACUAUGAAUUCAUGAUUUUUAAUUAUUUAUAUCAUCUAUCUCCAUCUCCCUCAAUAUUUCCAUAUAUCUUUAUCUACAGUUAUUUCCUUGCUCUGUCUGCCAAGAAAAGCCUAGAAGCAAUGACAUUCCAGUAGCAAUGGGCACUCAGCACCCAGAUCUUGAUUUCUUAAAAUCAUUUUCCAUUCAAAGGAAUCAAGAUUCCCUGGGAAAAAAAUGGCUGAUUCCACAGCUGGGGCUGGGAAGAUACACCUUAAGAACACCUUAAGCC
Bos taurus (domestic cattle) is the source of this 1665-nucleotide long non-coding RNA. The record is from Ensembl. Lineage: Eukaryota; Metazoa; Chordata; Mammalia; Artiodactyla; Bovidae.